Molecule: transfer RNA, 73 nt
Filed under: Phycisphaera sp. TMED9
Lineage: Bacteria; Pseudomonadati; Planctomycetota; Phycisphaerae; Phycisphaerales; Phycisphaeraceae
Also listed under: 8 other names
Description: tRNA-Lys
Rfam family: tRNA
About the family: Transfer RNA (tRNA) molecules are approximately 80 nucleotides in length.
Source: RNAcentral
GAUUCCGUAGCUCAGUUGGUAGAGCAUGCGACUUUUAAUCGCCAGGUCCUGGGUUCGAGCCCCAGCGGAAUCA